CCUAACACAUGCAAGUCGAACGGUAACGGGAAACAGCUUGCUGUUUCGCUGACGAGUGGCGGACGGGUGAGUAAUGUCUGGGAAACUGCCUGAUGGAGGGGGAUAACUACUGGAAACGGUAGCUAAUACCGCAUAACGUCGCAAGACCAAAGAGGGGGACCUUCGGGCCUCUUGCCAUCAGAUGUGCCCAGAUGGGAUUAGCUAGUAGGUGGGGUAACGGCUCACCUAGGCGACGAUCCCUAGCUGGUCUGAGAGGAUGACCAGCCACACUGGAAUUGAGACACGGUCCAGACUCCUACGGGAGGCAGCAGUGGGGAAUAUUGCACAAUGGGCGCAAGCCUGAUGCAGCCAUGCCGCGUGUAUGAAGAAGGCCUUCGGGUUGUAAAGUACU
RNAcentral lists this ribosomal RNA (391 nucleotides) under uncultured bacterium. RNAcentral's name for it is "bacterial SSU rRNA". It matches the Rfam family "Bacterial small subunit ribosomal RNA", at positions 47 to 434 of the family's 1533-position model. The record is from RNAcentral.